This is a long non-coding RNA of Armigeres subalbatus, 1717 nucleotides long. RefSeq lists it as uncharacterized. NCBI's taxonomy places the organism in Eukaryota, Metazoa, Arthropoda, Insecta, Diptera, Culicidae. The record is from RefSeq and is a predicted model, not a curated record. The transcript has 2 exons.
GCGAAAUCAAAACAAACAAAAAUACUUCGCAAAUCAGUUCAUUUUGGUUUCGCAAAUUAAUUUGCAAAUUGCAACACUUUUCAAAUCUAGCUUCUUUGAAUAAUAGCAAAGCAAUUGUAAAUAGUUCGGAGCGGUAAGUGUUUCUUUCGUUCCUGCGUUAGUACCAGUCGCGGUCAAAACACCUUUGAAAAAAAAACUGACAAGCAACCAUCCCAUGCUGGUGGAUAGAGUCAAAAUCAACGCAAGUAUGUGCAGAAUAGUGUUGUGAAUCAAUUGAUUUCCGAACAGACGGUGAUGUGGCAGUUUUGGGUUGAGUGACAAGCAGGCAAAAUUCAACCAACAAAGUGCAUUCCGCGGGACCCUGUAUAUUAGAGUGGGGCGUCAUGAUCAUUUUUUCAAAUCAAUAGUUUUUCGAAGCCAUUCUGGGUCCUGAACAACUGUGCAGAAUUUGAGACCGAUUGGUUGCUUCUUCGCUUUCCGCAUCGCGUUUGAAGUUUGUAUGGAAAUUAGUAUGGGAGAACGUGUAUUUUUGCAUUUCUACUACUAGAGGUUUCAGUUCAUCGUAAGCCAAGUGGCACCUUGCGUUAAAGUAUAACCCAAAGGAUGCCGAAAAACUUUGCUGAAGAAGGCACGUUGCUGGAACUUCCACGAAAAAAGUUAUAACGCUUCGAACAUUGAGUGUUCAAACCAUAUGCAAAAAAUCGUUUAUUCUGCCAGCACUGCCGUACUACGUAGACCAAUAAUUUAACUGAGUGUUAAUUCAAAAUAAUUGAUCUUAUAGGGCUUUAGAGCUAAUGGGAGCUAUCCGGAAUCAUUUCACAAAGAAAAAAAUCCGACGAGAAGGAAGAUGGGUUUUGCCCUUCGAGAACCAUAGGUCGUCCGGUAGUGCUGGCAGAAACAUUGAUUUCUUGCAUAUGAUUUACACAAUCAAUUUUCGAAACGUAAUAACAUUUUUUGUAGACCUUUCAGCUACGUACCUUCUUCGGCAAAGUCUUUCGGCAUCUUCCAGACUAGAUGCUAACGUAUUGAGUCACGUGAUUGAUGAUAAAUUGAAGUCGCUAAGAGUAAAAAUGUAAAAAAAUACGUUUUCCCAUACACAUCUCCAUGUAAAUUUAAAACGCGAUGCGGCAUGCGAGGUUGCAACCAAUCGAGCCCAUAUUUUGCACAGUUGAUUGGGGUCUCAAAACGAUUCAGAAAAACCUUGAUCUCACUUGAUCGGACGAAGUUUGCGUUUUUCCAUACAACUGCGCCCCACUCUACUGUAUAUACACCAAGGAAGGCGAUACCAGGUCCGCCAUGGGCAGAAUUAUUAAAUAUAGGAAUGUCAACGGAAGGAUGUCGUCAAAUAAUGUGGAUUGCAAUUGCAAGAAGAAACGAGAUCAGAUAAAAAGAUGGUGAGCUACAGUAAGACUCUGGGACUAAUGCGUUUCUUCUAGUGUUGUGGGCAACGCUACUGCGAUCUUUCCGUGUUGCAGUGAAGUGAAAAUUCCAAUGAUAAUAACGAUUCGUUUGGCAUUAAGAUAGCACUUCUUUGGAAGAACAACGACAAACGUAGCAACACGCCAGCAAUCGCUUGUGAUGCUUUCGGAGGAGGAUUUUGAGCACCUUAUUUGUAGGAGCGACUGCAGUAUCUGACCAAAAUGUUUAAUGACUUUUUAUUCCGGAACAAAUGAUUCGCCGAUAAAUGGAACUAAUAAAAAUCGUACCCCAAACGCAA